UACGGAGGUGGCAAGCGUUGUUCGGAAUUAUUGGGCGUAAAGCGCGCGCAGGCGGUCCUUUAAGUCUGAUGUGAAAGCCCUCGGCUCAACCGAGGAAGGUCAUUGGAAACUGGAGGACUUGAGUGCAGAAGAGGAAAGUGGAAUUCCAAGUGUAGCGGUGAAAUGCGUAGAGAUUUGGAGGAACACCAGUGGCGAAGGCGACUUUCUGGUCUGUAACUGACGCUGAGGCGCGAAAGCGUGGGGAGCAAACAGG
This 253-nucleotide ribosomal RNA is filed under the name uncultured bacterium. Its description in RNAcentral is "partial 16S ribosomal RNA". It matches the Rfam family "Bacterial small subunit ribosomal RNA", at positions 524 to 776 of the family's 1533-position model. The record is from RNAcentral.